Molecule: ribosomal RNA, 465 nt
Filed under: uncultured Weissella sp.
Lineage: Bacteria; Bacillati; Bacillota; Bacilli; Lactobacillales; Lactobacillaceae
Description: bacterial SSU rRNA
Rfam family: Bacterial small subunit ribosomal RNA
Source: RNAcentral
CCUACGGGGGGCUGCAGUAGGGAAUCUUCCACAAUGGACGAAAGUCUGAUGGAGCAACGCCGCGUGUGUGAUGAAGGGUUUCGGCUCGUAAAACACUGUUGUAAGAGAAGAAUGACAUUGAGAGUAACUGUUCAGUGUGUGACGGUAUCUUACCAGAAAGGAACGGCUAAGUACGUGCCAGCAGCCGCGGUAAUACGUAUGUUCCAAGCGUUAUCCGGAUUUAUUGGGCGUAAAGCGAGCGCAGGCGGUUUUUUAAGUCCGAAGUGAAAGCCCUACGCUUAACCGGGGAAGUGCUUUGGAAACUGGGAUAAUUGAGUGCGGAAGAGGAAAGUGGAACUCCAUGUGUAGCGGUGAAAUGCGUAGAUAUAUGGAAGAACACCAGUGGCGAAGGCGGCUCUCUGGACUGUAACUGACGUUGAGGCUCGAAAGUGUGGGUAGCAAACAGGAUUAGAUACCCUUGUAGUC